This 72-nucleotide transfer RNA is filed under the name Camelus ferus (Wild Bactrian camel). It matches the Rfam family "tRNA". From Rfam's summary of the family: Transfer RNA (tRNA) molecules are approximately 80 nucleotides in length. Their secondary structure includes four short double-helical elements and three loops (D, anti-codon, and T loops). The record is from Rfam by way of RNAcentral. Lineage: Eukaryota; Metazoa; Chordata; Mammalia; Artiodactyla; Camelidae.
GUGGGUGUAGCUCUGUGGUAGAGCAUGUGCCUAGCAUGCACGGGGUCCUGGGUUCAGUCCCCAGGACCUCCA